GACAGAGGAGCCAAGCGUUGUCCGGAUUGACUGGGCGUAAAGCGCACGCAGGCGGCUGUGCACGUGGGGUGUGAAAGCUGGCGGCUUAACUGCCAGACGCCACCUCAUACGGCACGGCUCGAGCCCGUGAGAGGUCCACGGAAUUGCCGGUGUAGUGGUGAAAUGCGUAGAGAUCGGCAGGAACACCCAGGGGGAAACCAGUGGACUGGCACGGUGCUGACGCUCAGGCGCGAAAGCGUGGGGAGCGAACCGG
This 253-nucleotide ribosomal RNA is filed under the name uncultured bacterium. RNAcentral describes it as "partial 16S ribosomal RNA". It matches the Rfam family "Bacterial small subunit ribosomal RNA", at positions 524 to 776 of the family's 1533-position model. The record is from RNAcentral.